GGGGAUGACGGUUUUUGACAGGUCUUUGAAAUUUUUUAAUAUGCAAGCCGAGCCAGUCUGUAGUCUCGUUAAUCCUAUGGACAUCAACAAAUGCAGUUGAAUCUUCUUGGAACAAAGUAGUUGCAGCCUUCCAGGCCGCUGACUUAGUUCCUGUUGCUGCUUAAUUUAGCGGUAACACAUGAGCCAAAGUUUGUCCUAACUUUGGGUCCUCAUGUUUAUUUUGGACUGCGUCUUAAAAACAGUUUGCGUUUUAAGACUAAGGCAUCGCAAACAAACUUUAACGGAGUUUCGUUAGCUCUCAUUCGUUAAAGUAACCCUAAGCUAGCUAAGCUUGUGAAUAAUUGAAAAAUGGACAAGUUCUGGACCCGGGUUUAACUCCCGGCAUCUCCACCA
This 393-nucleotide transfer-messenger RNA is filed under the name Patescibacteria group. Its description in RNAcentral is "JAEUSF01 sp016788665 Standard tmRNA". It matches the Rfam family "transfer-messenger RNA". Rfam says of the family: Bacterial tmRNA, also known as 10Sa RNA or SsrA, is named for its dual tRNA and mRNA-like properties. Its role is to liberate the mRNA from a stalled ribosome. To accomplish this part of the tmRNA is used as a reading frame that ends in a translation stop signal. The record is from RNAcentral. RNAcentral also lists the same sequence under 1 other name.